Molecule: ribosomal RNA, 329 nt
Filed under: uncultured eukaryote
Lineage: Eukaryota
Description: partial 18S ribosomal RNA
Rfam family: Eukaryotic small subunit ribosomal RNA
Source: RNAcentral
CCCUUAGAUGUUCUGGGCCGCACGCGCGCUACACUGAUGCAUUCAACGAGUCUAAAACCUGCUCUGAUAGGGGUGGGUAAUCUUUUGAAUGUGCAUCGUGAUUGGGAUAGAUGAUUGCAAUUUUUCAUCUUCAACGAGGAAUGCCUAGUAAACGCAAGUCAUCAGCUUGCAUUGAUUACGUCCCUGCCCUUUGUACACACCGCCCGUCGCUCCUAUCGAUUGAAUGAUCCGAUGAAUAUCAUGGAUUGAGGAUGCAAGUAGGUUCGCCUAUCUUCAUCUUCGAGAAGUGAAGUAAAUCUUAUCAUUUAGAGGAAGGAGAAGUCGUAACA